UACGUAGGGGGCAAGCGUUAUCCGGAUUUAUUGGGUUUAAAGGGUGCGUAGGCGGAUUGAUAAGUUAGAGGUGAAAUGUCCGAGCUUAACUCGGGAACUGCCUCUAAUACUGUUGAUCUAGAGAGUAGAUGCGGUAGGCGGAAUGUAUGGUGUAGCGGUGAAAUGCUUAGAGAUCAUACAGAACACCGAUUGCGAAGGCAGCUUACCAAUCUAUAUCUGACGUUGAGGCACGAAAGCGUGGGGAGCAAACAGG
Molecule: ribosomal RNA, 253 nt
Filed under: uncultured bacterium
Lineage: Bacteria
Description: partial 16S ribosomal RNA
Rfam family: Bacterial small subunit ribosomal RNA
Source: RNAcentral